Molecule: unclassified non-coding RNA, 322 nt
Filed under: Hevea brasiliensis (rubber tree)
Lineage: Eukaryota; Viridiplantae; Streptophyta; Magnoliopsida; Malpighiales; Euphorbiaceae
Source: RNAcentral
GGAAAUCUGACUACAAUACUCUACAAAGGUGUCACAUGAUUAGUAUAUAAUAUGCAUUUUUCAACCAUAGAAAAUCAAAGUAUAAUACUUGGAUAAAGCAAAAAAAGCAAUUAAAAGCUAAUGAGUUAGCGCAUAUAAGGAGUCACUUGAAAAGGGAAAAUGACAAGAAACAAAAUGCAUAAACUUCUAAUGGCAUUUACCAUAUCUUUUAUCACAUCCUUUGUUAAAAACAUUGCAGGAAGUAUCUGUUAAAUCUCAGCAAUUUAACAUACAGUUUUAUUCAUUCUUCCAAGCAUAAAAUAUAAGUGAGAAACCAAGACCU